CCUUGAAUAUGGAGAAGUAGCAGUCAUAUGCUGGAGAAUAAAUACUCUAAGCUGCUGUGGCUGAGGAGUAAGAGACAUGGGAGACAGUACAGAGGGAUGGACCUGAGAGAUAUUUGAUGAGGAACAUAAUCUCAAUUAGAACAUGGAGACAUAAGAUGGGCUCAAGAGUGAUUCACUCUAUAACAUUGCAUUCAAGACACAUCAGAGCGAACGCAGAGCAGCAAUUACUGAGAAGAAAUAUGUGCUCUUCUUCACGAACACACAUUUGAUGACUUUGCCAAUCGUCCCAGGAAACAUCCUUUGCGCUGAGAAGGCUUUACAAAGUAUACUGCUAAAACGGCUGACCCUGAGGGCUCGACCUAUGCCUACGGGAGGCCGCCGUGACCCCAAGGCUUCCUCCCAUCCCCGACAGCAGGGAUCCUGGACCGCGUACUCAGGCUGUAAAUUGCCCAGACAAAAUGGAAAUCAAAUCUUCAAACCAGUUCUGAUAAUAA
Canis lupus familiaris (dog) is the source of this 494-nucleotide long non-coding RNA. RefSeq lists it as uncharacterized. NCBI's taxonomy places the organism in Eukaryota, Metazoa, Chordata, Mammalia, Carnivora, Canidae. The transcript is spliced from 4 exons. The record is from RefSeq and is a predicted model, not a curated record.